RNAcentral lists this ribosomal RNA (700 nucleotides) under Rossellomorea aquimaris. RNAcentral describes it as "bacterial SSU rRNA". It matches the Rfam family "Bacterial small subunit ribosomal RNA", at positions 131 to 815 of the family's 1533-position model. Lineage: Bacteria; Bacillati; Bacillota; Bacilli; Caryophanales; Bacillaceae. The record is from RNAcentral.
UGUAAGACUGGGAUAACUCCGGGAAACCGGGGCUAAUACCGGAUAACUCAUUUCCUCGCAUGAGGAAAUGUUGAAAGGUGGCUUUUAGCUAUCACUUACAGAUGGACCCGCGGCGCAUUAGCUAGUUGGUGAGGUAACGGCUCACCAAGGCGACGAUGCGUAGCCGACCUGAGAGGGUGAUCGGCCACACUGGGACUGAGACACGGCCCAGACUCCUACGGGAGGCAGCAGUAGGGAAUCUUCCGCAAUGGACGAAAGUCUGACGGAGCAACGCCGCGUGAGUGAUGAAGGUUUUCGGAUCGUAAAACUCUGUUGUUAGGGAAGAACAAGUACCGUUCGAAUAGGGCGGUACCUUGACGGUACCUAACCAGAAAGCCACGGCUAACUACGUGCCAGCAGCCGCGGUAAUACGUAGGUGGCAAGCGUUGUCCGGAAUUAUUGGGCGUAAAGCGCGCGCAGGUGGUUUCUUAAGUCUGAUGUGAAAGCCCACGGCUCAACCGUGGAGGGUCAUUGGAAACUGGGGAACUUGAGUGCAGAAGAGGAAAGUGGAAUUCCAAGUGUAGCGGUGAAAUGCGUAGAUAUUUGGAGGAACACCAGUGGCGAAGGCGACUUUCUGGUCUGUAACUGACACUGAGGCGCGAAAGCGUGCGGAGCAAACAGGAUUAGAUACCCUGGUAGUCCACGCCGUAAACGAUGAGUG